GGGCGAUUGGUCUAGUGGUUAAGAUAGCUCCUCUCUGUCCGACUUGCUGAACGAGUGCUGUUUGUCAGGCUUGCCGGUUACCAUCCAAUUUGGGGUCUGACUCACCCCGGCUUUGUCGCGAGAAAAGGAGUUGACCCAAGUUCGAUUCUUGGAUUGCCCA
Molecule: transfer RNA, 160 nt
Filed under: Zymoseptoria tritici IPO323
Lineage: Eukaryota; Fungi; Ascomycota; Dothideomycetes; Mycosphaerellales; Mycosphaerellaceae
Description: Zymoseptoria tritici tRNA-Arg for anticodon UCU
Source: RNAcentral